Molecule: ribosomal RNA, 781 nt
Filed under: uncultured Neocallimastigales
Lineage: Eukaryota; Fungi; Neocallimastigomycota; Neocallimastigomycetes; Neocallimastigales
Description: partial large subunit ribosomal RNA
Rfam family: Eukaryotic large subunit ribosomal RNA
Source: RNAcentral
UAUCUCUGUAGAGUCUGCAUAUCAAUAAGCGGAGGAAAAGAAACUAACUAGGAUUCCCUUAGUAACGGCGAGUGAAGCGGGAAGAGCUCAAAUUUGAAAUCUUCAAGGUUCUACCUUGACGAAUUGUAGUUUAAAGAAGUGUUUUCUGUUAGGAUGAGUAGCAAAAGUUCCUUGGAAUAGGGACAUCAUAGAGGGUGAGAAUCCCGUAUUUGGUUACAUUACUUUCUAGCUUUGUGAUACACUUUCAAAGAGUCGGAUUGUUUGGGAAUGCAGUCCAAAAUGGGUGGUAAAUUUCAUCUAAAGCUAAAUAUUGGCGAGAGACCGAUAGCGAACAAGUACCGUGAGGGAAAGAUGAAAAGAACUUUGAAAAGAGAGUUAAACAGUACGUGAAAUUGUCAAAAGGGAAGCGUUUGACACCAGUGUUGUUUUUCCGAAAAUCAAUUACCGAAUGGCUUGAUUCUGUGUCGUAUUGACCUUAUCAGCUUUCUGCACUUUUUUCGAGUCUUUCUUAAUGCACUUUUCGGUUAACAAGUCAACAUCAAUUUCUUUUGUUGUAAAAGAGUAUUCGGAAGGUGGCUUUCUUUUCGGAGAAAGUGUUUAUAGCCCUAUACUUCUACAAUCGGAGAGAUUGAGGUCUGCAGCGUAGAUCCUUCGGGGUUAGAUACACUUUGUGCUAAGUUGUAGCUUUUCAUAGACAACUUGUUGACUAUGUUUAGUCAUGCGGCUUACUCGCUUGUGCUAUUUUACCUACGCUUAGGAUGUUGACGAGACUGUCGAUCUC